Molecule: ribosomal RNA, 254 nt
Filed under: uncultured bacterium
Lineage: Bacteria
Description: partial 16S ribosomal RNA
Rfam family: Bacterial small subunit ribosomal RNA
Source: RNAcentral
GGAGCGAGACUGUGAAGUGGAGCAAAUCUCAAAAAUUAGUCUCAGUUCGGAUUGCAGGCUGCAACUCGCCUACACGAAGUCGGAAUCGCUAGUAAUCGCGGAUCAGCAUGCCGCGGUGAAUACGUUCCCGGGCCUUGUACACACCGCCCGUCACACCAUGGGAGCUGGUAACACCCGAAGUCAGUAGUCUAACCGCAAGGAGGACGCUGCCGAAGGUGGGAUUAGCGACUGGGGUGAAGUCGUAACAAGGUAAC